UUUACUACAAAAUCGUCAAAGCAAUAAAUGUCAUUUAUAAUCUCUAUAUAUGAUAUAUUUUAUUAUUGUUCGGCAUUUUUUUCAAACAAAUAAGCAAAACAAGUAGUAUCUGUUAUGAUUGUUCAUUUUAAAAAAUGGAAAACAUAAUGUCCUUGACAUCGAGUUGUAUUGAUAAAAUUUCAAAUAUCGACUUUAAAUAUAAAGAGAAAGCAUAUGGACAUAAGACGUAAAUAGUCAUCCAUAUGAAUUUUUUUACGAAAGUGUGUGUAAAGGUCCUAAGGAUUAAAGAAGUCAUAAUGUAUUAUAAGAUAUAAUUCGUGUCUUUCAACGCAAAUGACGUAAAUAUAGAGUAACUUUGUUGUUACUUGUACGAAAGAUCUGUGCUAACGGUUUUUAAGAUGGAGAAUCUACUGAUUCUAUCUGUAGAAUAUAAAGAACAAUUAGAAAUAGGCGACGAGCUUGAACGUUCGCGAAAAAAAGCUAUGGAAGAAAUAAUCUGUAAAAACAUUAUCAACAUCAUGAGAGUCUGGUAAAUUGUUAUGAAAAAUGAUUUUGUACUGUUUGAUGAAAGUGAUUCAGAAGGAAUUUACAAAGAGAUUAGCAACCUCUUUCGGUGGAAGCAUCGCCAAGAUGUUCGAGAACCUGCAAAAUCGGCAAAGCAUAAGAAAUGUUAAGUACCCUGAAAACAAUUUCAUUCAUUAAUGUCUACUUUAAAUAAUAAAAUCUAUUCCAUAAAUUGAUAUAACCUACCGCCCUGAGUCCAACAAUCCAAUCUGCAUGUGAAGAUAAUAAGAUAUAAAUUUUAUAAUAUGAUAUAAAUAUUAUAUGAUAUUAUUUUUUAUAUGUCAAUCUUUUUCGAGUUAUUAUUUAUUACAAUUUCUUACUUUAUUUUAGGUUUCUUACAGAGACCAGUGUCCACCAUGUACGGAUAAAUAGUUGUAAAGUUUAUGUUCAAGUUCUUUCCUUUAGAGUAUUCUCGAAGCUCUUCGCUGAGAGCUUCCAUAAAACCUGCACAAUAUGAAAUAAAAUUUAAUGUAUCUAUUAUCACAAUAAAUCCUCAUUUUUGUAGAUA
This is a long non-coding RNA of Vespula vulgaris, 1072 nucleotides long. RefSeq lists it as uncharacterized. The transcript is spliced from 4 exons. The record is from RefSeq and is a predicted model, not a curated record. Lineage: Eukaryota; Metazoa; Arthropoda; Insecta; Hymenoptera; Vespidae.